GAUGAACGCUGGCGGCGUGCUUAACACAUGCAAGUCGAACGAGGAGUGAAGACGGAAACCUUCGGGCGGAAGGCUUUAUUUCGAGUGGCGGACGGGUGAGUAACGCGUGGGUAACCUGCCUCAUACAGGGGGAUAACAGUUGGAAACGACUGUUAAUACCGCAUAAGACCACAGCACCGCAUGGUGCGGGGGUAAAAACUCCGGUGGUAUGAGAUGGACCCGCGUUCGAUUAGCCAGUUGGCGGGGUAACGGCCCACCAAAGCGACGAUCGAUAGCCGAUCUGAGAGGAUGACCGGCCACAUUGGGACUGAGACACGGCCCAAACUCCUACGGGAGGCAGCAGUGGGGAAUAUUGCACAAUGGGGGAAACCCUGAUGCAGCGACGCCGCGUGAGUGAAGAAGUAUUUCGGUAUGUAAAGCUCUAUCAGCAGGGAAGAAAAUGACGGUACCUGAGGAAGAAGCCCCGGCUAACUACGUG
RNAcentral lists this ribosomal RNA (478 nucleotides) under uncultured bacterium. RNAcentral's name for it is "partial 16S ribosomal RNA". It matches the Rfam family "Bacterial small subunit ribosomal RNA", at positions 28 to 507 of the family's 1533-position model. The record is from RNAcentral.